GGCUCGAUAGCGGAGGGCCCGCACCUGCCGUUGGUGAUGAAAUCACGGAACCACUUGAUGCAGGAGACGUCCGUUCAACUCGGGCUCGAGCCA
Molecule: non-coding RNA, 93 nt
Organism: Mycena latifolia
Lineage: Eukaryota; Fungi; Basidiomycota; Agaricomycetes; Agaricales; Mycenaceae
Source: the annotation of a GenBank genome assembly